GAAUCAUUGAAUCUUUGAACGCAUAUGCGCGCCCUUUGGUAGCUCCAAAGGGCAUGCCUGUCCGAGCGUCAUCGCCGAUUUUUCCCGGGCCCCCGGAUGGCCUGGGGCGGUUGGGUCGUCGUCCGGGGGGAGGUUCUCCCUGGAUGGGCCCCAAAGGCAAUGACGGUGCCGCGGUUCGGCCCUGGAGCGCAAUCGGAUUUUGGCUCUAGAGGGGCCGGAUCGGGCCACCUGUCUCCCCUGGCGUCUCGAGACGCCUCGUCCGUCCUGUUGACCUCGGAUCAGGCAGGGAUACCCGCUGAACUUAAGCAUAUCAAUAAGCGGAGGAA
This 326-nucleotide ribosomal RNA is filed under the name uncultured Cenococcum. RNAcentral's name for it is "eukaryotic LSU rRNA". The stretch from base 269 to 326 matches the Rfam family "Eukaryotic large subunit ribosomal RNA", at positions 1 to 58 of the family's 3401-position model. Lineage: Eukaryota; Fungi; Ascomycota; Dothideomycetes; Gloniales; Gloniaceae. The record is from RNAcentral.